GAUACCCUAUUAUUUUAAAAGUAAACAAUCAAACCUAAUUAGUAAAAGUUAAGUUCUCAAAAAUUAAAGAAUCUGGCGGUAUUUUAGUCUAUUCAGAGGAAUCUGUCCUGUAAUUGAUAAUACACGAUUUUUUAUACCUAUUUUAUUAAUUUACAUAUCGCCGUAGUUUGAAUAUUUUUUAAAAAUAAUAAUAUUCAUAAUUUAUUUAAUAAAAAAAAUCAGGUCAAGGUGUAGUUUAUAGAUAGGAAGAGAUGGGUUACAAUAAAAGUAUUUAUUAUGGAUUAAUUAAUUAAAUUUUUUUAUGAAGGUGGAUUUGAAAGUAAUUUUAUUUA
Molecule: ribosomal RNA, 332 nt
Filed under: Laparocerus alluaudi
Lineage: Eukaryota; Metazoa; Arthropoda; Insecta; Coleoptera; Curculionidae
Description: partial 12S ribosomal RNA
Source: RNAcentral